RNAcentral lists this transfer RNA (71 nucleotides) under Paramuricea clavata. RNAcentral describes it as "tRNA-Ser". The stretch from base 5 to 67 matches the Rfam family "tRNA", at positions 5 to 66 of the family's 71-position model. From Rfam's summary of the family: Transfer RNA (tRNA) molecules are approximately 80 nucleotides in length. The record is from RNAcentral. Lineage: Eukaryota; Metazoa; Cnidaria; Anthozoa; Malacalcyonacea; Plexauridae.
CUCCCUGUAGCUCAGUUGGUUAGAGCGCUGCACAGGAAUCGCAGGGCACAGGUUCGAUUCCUGUCAGAAGG